GCUGUAAAGAGGUACCAUGUGGAGGUACAGUCCUAUGAUAUACCUAGAAAGCAUAGCUGUAAAGAGGUACCAUGUGGAGGUACAGUCCUAUGAUAUACCUUGAAUGCAUAGCUGUAAAGAGGUACCAUGUGGAGGUACAGUCCUAUGAUAUACCUAGAAAGCAUAGCUGUAAAGAGGUACCAUGUGGAGGUACAGUCCUAUGAUAUACCUAGAAAGCAUAGCUGUAAAGAGGUA
Long non-coding RNA from Octopus sinensis (East Asian common octopus), 234 nucleotides. RefSeq lists it as uncharacterized. NCBI's taxonomy places the organism in Eukaryota, Metazoa, Mollusca, Cephalopoda, Octopoda, Octopodidae. The transcript has 2 exons. The record is from RefSeq and is a predicted model, not a curated record.